UAGGGAAUCUUCGGCAAUGGGGGGAACCCUGACCGAGCAACGCCGCGUGAGUGAAGAAGGUUUUCGGAUCGUAAAGCUCUGUUGUUAAGGAAGAACGAGUGUGAGAAUGGAAAGUUCAUGCUGUGACGGUACUUAACCAGAAAGGGACGGCUAACUACGUGCCAGCAGCCGCGGUAAUACGUAGGUGGCAAGCGUUGUCCGGAUUUAUUGGGCGUAAAGCGAGCGCAGGCGGUCAAUUAAGUCUGAUGUGAAAGCCCCCGGCUCAACCGGGGAGGGUCAUUGGAAACUGGUUGACUUGAGUGCAGAAGAGGAGAGUGGAAUUCCAUGUGUAGCGGUGAAAUGCGUAGAUAUAUGGAGGAACACCAGUGGCGAAGGCGAUUCUCUGGUCUGUAACUGACGCUGAGGCUCGAAAGCGUGGGUAGCAAACAGG
RNAcentral lists this ribosomal RNA (430 nucleotides) under Bacteroidota bacterium. RNAcentral describes it as "Bacteroidetes bacterium partial 16S ribosomal RNA". It matches the Rfam family "Bacterial small subunit ribosomal RNA", at positions 355 to 776 of the family's 1533-position model. The record is from RNAcentral. Lineage: Bacteria; Pseudomonadati; Bacteroidota.